AUGGACAGGCCACCGGUGAGCCGUCCCUCCUUCCCCGCCGGCAACCGCUACGCCGCCGUGGAUGGAUAUGGCGGGGGCUACGGCCACCGCCUCGCUUCUUCACGGGGCCAGCCCGGAGCUCCCUACGGUGUCGCCGCACCCGCACAGGUUCGUCCCCUCGCCUCGCCGCACGGGCUCGGCCCGCCGUCCCGGCCUCUCGUCGCGGGAGACUUCAGCGGCAAAGGCGAUGGUCUACUGGGCCCCGGUCCCGGCCCCGUCCUCUACCGCCCCGGCAACGCCAGCAGCCGCCCCUUCCUCCCCCUCAACGACUACGCCAGCGACCCAAGCAGCGGCAACUCCAGCAGCCGCCCCUUCCUCCCCCUCAACAACUACGCCAGCGACCCAAGCAGCGGCAACUCCAGCAGCGGCUCCUUCCUCCACCUCAACAACUACACUGGGAACUCAGGCACGGCAGCCAGCACGCCCUUCCCCCCCGUCGAGCAUACCGGAGCCUUCGACGGUUCGGGAGUGGUCACCAUUGACCUCGAGAAUUCUGUGCAAGUCUUCAACACCAUCAAGCGCAAGGUGCAGAAGAGGAGCGGCCACCUCUACAUCGGCCUUGACCUCGAGUACUGCGCAAGCUCCGCCACUGACCUGGACCAUCGCCCGUUCUGCCCCAACGACUGGUAUGAGUACCUGAAGAAGUAUGUCAACGAAGGUGCGCUUGUCCAAAUUGGUCCUGCUCUAGCGUUCGAGGGUCCGGUACCAUCUCCUGUGGAGGCAUACCAGGUGAAUGUGCAUAUUGAUGUCCAAUCCGGUGGAUAUCACCCAUCUGCAGUCGAUUUCCUGGAGAGCCAGGGGCACAAGUUGGCAGAGUAUAGGGACAGGGGCGUGAUGCCAGAGUGGCUAUUUGCAGAUGUGCUUAGCCACUUGCCCUUCGGUGAUGAUUCUGUAACCUGGAUCACCUUUCAUGGAGACAGGGAUGUGGGGUUCCUUCUCAGGUUGCUUAUUGCCGGAGGCAGAGGAACAUUGCCCUCAGACAAGCUCACAUUUCUACAUGUGUUUCGUGACAAAUUUCCAUUGUUCUACGAUGUCAAGGUGCUUGCUCAGCUAGUGCAGCCAAGGUUUGCUGGCAAGCUAACCAAGUUGACAAAGUUGCUUGGUGUACAGAGGCAAGGAGAGGAACACUUUGCAGGGUCCGACGCUCUGCUGACACUUGGCUACUUCAACAAGAUUGUGGAGAUCUCGGCCAAGACUAACAUAGUGUCCAGAAUGGGUUUGCUAUCUGGUCUGGAGGAGCUAGAGCUUUCCAUGACUUGCGGGAAAUCAGUGAACGAUUCUGGCAUCAAUGUCUUAAAGGUUACGGCGCAUAACUACGAUGAGGAGGCAGCACGGAUCUCUGACCUUGUGGGGAACAAUUUUCAGUUCGUCGCAAUGCAGGUACUCUUACCAGCGUCUCAAGACAUCCUAGGUACCUCUGCUGGAGCUCAGUCCAGCUAUGAGAGAGUGAAGAAAGUGCUGGAUAGUGUUGACAGGUUUGAUCUGCUCAUAGCGUUCAUGAACGCUGAAGGGGUCUUGGGGCAUGGGCGGGUGUGGCAAUUCAGCUUCAAUCUGAGGCUGGAUGGUGCUGAUCAAGAUGCAUACGUGUGUCCCCGUCGGCUGGCUUGCGUUUUAGCUUCUUCUGGAGUGACCCACCGCCCCAAUACGGUCUGGGUCACAGUACAUGGGGCGUAUGGCAUUGCCUGCCUUCUCAAGGCUUUUCUUUCCCCAGUUGACCUUCCUCACGCCUACAGAGAUUUUAUCAUCAGCCGUGCUGCUUGUUUUCCAUGCCUUUAUGACAUUGGCUUGCUUGCCAAUUCAGCACGAGACUUGGCGCUUCUGCCUACAGGAUGUAACGGUGGACUGGGCCACAUAUCCAGUGCGCUUGGUGUCCUCGAGGAUCCCUGUGAGGUGGUAACUCUCCUACGAACCUUCAAUGCAUUCCAAGCAAGACCAGAUUUCCAGAGCUUUGUGCCCGGUGGGCUCAUGGAGCGAUGCUGCCCUGCAUGCCUGAACAUGCAGUGA
RNAcentral lists this ribosomal RNA (2043 nucleotides) under Triticum aestivum (bread wheat). Its description in RNAcentral is "partial small subunit ribosomal RNA". The record is from RNAcentral. Lineage: Eukaryota; Viridiplantae; Streptophyta; Magnoliopsida; Poales; Poaceae.